Non-coding RNA from Marasmius fiardii PR-910, 86 nucleotides. The record is from the annotation of a GenBank genome assembly. Lineage: Eukaryota; Fungi; Basidiomycota; Agaricomycetes; Agaricales; Marasmiaceae.
GGUGCUAUAGUGUAGUGGUUAUCACUCGGGAUUUUGAUAUCUAGAUUGGCCUUCCCGAAACCCAGGUUCGAACCCUGGUAGCACCU